Molecule: transfer RNA, 69 nt
Filed under: Leucophytia bidentata (two-toothed white snail)
Lineage: Eukaryota; Metazoa; Mollusca; Gastropoda; Ellobiida; Ellobiidae
Description: Auriculinella bidentata (two-toothed white snail) tRNA-Asp
Source: RNAcentral
UUUUGCCUAGUUUAAAACAAAAAAAUGUUGGCUUGUCAAGCCAAUGAUGCCUGCCUGCGGCGACAAGGU